ACCCCAUGGUUUGGACAUUUUGUAAUGAUAUCUUUAUAUCUCUUCUAAGCUUCAUAGAGAUUUUCUCCAUAAAAUAUUAUAAAGUUAGAAAGCUCUUCUCUAACAUC
Molecule: small nucleolar RNA, 107 nt
Organism: Gastrolobium bilobum
Lineage: Eukaryota; Viridiplantae; Streptophyta; Magnoliopsida; Fabales; Fabaceae
Source: RefSeq, a predicted model, not a curated record